UCCUCUGCAUAGUCGGCAGAGCAUGAGACUCUGAAUCUCAAGGUCAUGGGUUGGAGCUCCAUGUUGGGCAAAA
Non-coding RNA from Podarcis lilfordi (Lilford's wall lizard), 73 nucleotides. Lineage: Eukaryota; Metazoa; Chordata; Lepidosauria; Squamata; Lacertidae. The record is from the annotation of a GenBank genome assembly.